GACGAACGCUGGCGGCGUGCUUAACACAUGCAAGUCGAACGGAAAGGCCCUGCUUUUGUGGGGUGCUCGAGUGGCGAACGGGUGAGUAACACGUGAGUAACCUGCCCUUGACUUUGGGAUAACUUCAGGAAACUGGGGCUACUACCGGAUAGGAGCUCCCGCUGCAUGGUGGGGGUUGGAAAGUUUCGGCGGUUGGGGAUGGACUCGCGGCUUAUCAGCUUGUUGGUGGGGUAGUGGCUUACCAAGGCUUUGACGGGUAGCCGGACUGGGAGGGUGACAGGCUCCAGUGGCAUAGGGGAGGGACCCGGGGGCCAUAGGGGGGAAGGGGGGGAAAAUUGUUCCAACUGGGCGGAGGGCGUGAGGAACACCCUCGGGUGGGGAAGCACGGCUUUCGGGAUAGAAACGGAUUCCGCUUAUACCGAGCGGUGAGGAGGGUAACUGGAGAAAAAACCCCGGGUAACCUCGUG
This 467-nucleotide ribosomal RNA is filed under the name uncultured bacterium. RNAcentral describes it as "partial 16S ribosomal RNA". It matches the Rfam family "Bacterial small subunit ribosomal RNA", at positions 28 to 507 of the family's 1533-position model. The record is from RNAcentral.